This 490-nucleotide ribosomal RNA is filed under the name uncultured soil bacterium. Its description in RNAcentral is "bacterial SSU rRNA". It matches the Rfam family "Bacterial small subunit ribosomal RNA", at positions 26 to 518 of the family's 1533-position model. The record is from RNAcentral.
AGAUUGAACGCUGGCGGCAUGCUUUACACAUGCAAGUCGAACGGUAACAGGCCGCAAGGUGCUGACGAGUGGCGAACGGGUGAGUAAUGUAUCGGAACGUGCCCAGUCGUGGGGGAUAACGCAGCGAAAGCUGCGCUAAUACCGCAUACGAUCUAUGGAUGAAAGCGGGGGACCGUAAGGCCUCGCGCGAUUGGAGCGGCCGAUAUCAGAUUAGGUAGUUGGUGGGGUAAAGGCUCACCAAGCCAACGAUCUGUAGCUGGUCUGAGAGGACGACCAGCCACACUGGGACUGAGACACGGCCCAGACUCCUACGGGAGGCAGCAGUGGGAAUUUUGGACAAUGGGGGAAACCCUGAUCCAGCCAUCCCGCGUGUGCGAUGAAGGCCUUCGGUUGUAAGCACUUUUGGCAGGAGAAACGGCGCCGCCUAAUACGGGCGUCGACUGACGGUACCUGCAGAAUAAGCACCGGCUAACUACGUGCCAGCAGCCGA